RNAcentral lists this ribosomal RNA (202 nucleotides) under uncultured bacterium. RNAcentral's name for it is "partial 16S ribosomal RNA". It matches the Rfam family "Bacterial small subunit ribosomal RNA", at positions 1300 to 1500 of the family's 1533-position model. The record is from RNAcentral.
GUAGGCUGAAACUACGCCUACAUGAAGCUGGAAUUGCUAGUAAUCACAGGUCAGCAUACUGUGGUGAAUACGUUCCCGGGCCUUGUACACACCGCCCGUCACACCAUGAGAGUCGAUAACACCCGAAGCCUGUAGUCUAACCGCAAGGAGGACGCAGUCGAAGGUGGGAUUGAUAAUUAGGGUGAAGUCGUAACAAGGUACC